RNAcentral lists this non-coding RNA (21 nucleotides) under Caenorhabditis elegans. Lineage: Eukaryota; Metazoa; Nematoda; Chromadorea; Rhabditida; Rhabditidae. The record is from RNAcentral.
UUUACAACUAGCACGGUUAAG